GUAGGAUUUGUACCGAGCACAGGUCGGGACCAGAUGCAGCUUGGCUGGGGGGGCGGUGGCACCUGCCUUGCAAGCUCCAGGCAGGAGUUCAAAGUCCAGCACUGGAAAAAAGCUGGAACCCUGAAUGUGCGUCACCUUCACAGGGUUGUAAAGCGGAAGAAUUUACCGGGGAUCGAACCUAGGACCUUACACUUGCGAGGCAGGUGGCAGAACCCCCGAGUUAAAUCUCCUGGCCUAUUGGGUGUUUUGAGACAUGGUCUCACUACGUAGUCCAGGCUGGCUUUGAAGGACUCAUAUACUCUGACAACCGAAAUAAUGUGGCCCUUUUAUGACUGUUGUGAGGACCGGGUUAGAAGACACUGCAGAAAAAGUGAAGAGAAACAGUAAGUGUAAAACCUGGGCACAAGGAACGCUCUUGCACGUGUUAGUUGGGCGUUACCACACUCGAGCGUGAGCAGAGCCCUACACAUUUGCACACCUACGUUACUGUACAAGUAUGUGUUAGGGCAUUUAUCUUUCUACCUUGCUUGGCAGUUAUUUGUGUGAACUGUGGGCUCCUUUGAGGCAGAAAAAAAUAGGGUGCAGCCUGGGGAUUUAGCUCUGUGGUGCCACGCCUGUGCCACAG
This is a long non-coding RNA of Fukomys damarensis (Damara mole-rat), 625 nucleotides long. RefSeq lists it as uncharacterized. The transcript is spliced from 3 exons. The record is from RefSeq and is a predicted model, not a curated record. NCBI's taxonomy places the organism in Eukaryota, Metazoa, Chordata, Mammalia, Rodentia, Bathyergidae.